GGGGAGUCUACCUGGCAGUUCGACGGAACAUAUUUGAAACCAAGUGAUGUAUGAAGUUAGUGGCGGACGGGUGAGUAACGCGUGGAGAACCUGCCGUAUACUGGGGGAUAACACUUAGAAAUAGGUGCUAAUACCGCAUAAGCGCACAGCUUCGCAUGAAGCAGUGUGAAAAACUCCGGUGGUAUACGAUGGAUCCGCGUCUGAUUAGCUGGUUGGCGGGGUAAAGGCCCACCAAGGCGACGAUCAGUAGCCGGCCUGAGAGGGUGAACGGCCACAUUGGGACUGAGACACGGCCCAAACUCCUACGGGAGGCAGCAGUGGGGAAUAUUGCACAAUGGGGGAAACCCUGAUGCAGCGACGCCGCGUGAGUGAAGAAGUAUUUCGGUACGUAAAGCUCUAUCAGCAGGGAAGAAAAUGACGGUACCUGACUAAGAAGCCCCGGCUAACUACGUGCCAGCAGCCGCGGUAAUACGUAGGGGGCAAGCGUUAUCCGGAUUUACUGGGUGUAAAGGGAGCGUAGACGGCAGCGCGAGUCUGGAGUGAAAUCCCAUGGCUUAACCAUGGAACUGCUUUGGAAACUGUGCAGCUGGAGUGCAGGAGAGGUAAGCGGAAUUCCUAGUGUAGCGGUGAAAUGCGUAGAUAUUAGGAGGAACACCAGUGGCGAAGGCGGCUUACUGGACUGUAACUGACGUUGAGGCUCGAAAGCGUGGGGAGCAAACAGGAUUAGAUACCCUGGUAGUCCACGCUGUANACGAUGAUUACUAGGUGUUGGGGGACCAAGGUCCUUCGGUGCCGUCGCA
RNAcentral lists this ribosomal RNA (800 nucleotides) under uncultured bacterium. RNAcentral's name for it is "bacterial SSU rRNA". It matches the Rfam family "Bacterial small subunit ribosomal RNA", at positions 44 to 853 of the family's 1533-position model. The record is from RNAcentral.